Molecule: ribosomal RNA, 460 nt
Filed under: uncultured bacterium
Lineage: Bacteria
Description: partial 16S ribosomal RNA
Rfam family: Bacterial small subunit ribosomal RNA
Source: RNAcentral
CCUACGGGGCGCUGCAGUGAGGAAUAUUGGUCAAUGGACGAGAGUCUGAACCAGCCAAGUAGCGUGAAGGAUGACUGCCCUAUGGGUUGUAAACUUCUUUUAUAUGGGAAUAAAACGUUCCACGUGUGGGAUUUUGUAUGUACCAUAUGAAUAAGGAUCGGCUAACUCCGUGCCAGCAGCCGCGGUAAUACGGAGGAUCCGAGCGUUAUCCGGAUUUAUUGGGUUUAAAGGGAGCGUAGGUGGAUUGUUAAGUCAGUUGUGAAAGUUUGCGGCUCAACCGUAAAAUUGCAGUUGAAACUGGCAGUCUUGAGUACAGUAGAGGUGGGCGGAAUUCGUGGUGUAGCGGUGAAAUUCUUAGAUAUCACGAAGAACUCCGAUUGCGAAGGCAGUUCACUGGACUGCAACUGACACUGAGGCUCGAAAGUGUGGGUAUCAAACAGGAUUAGAUACCCGUGUAGUC